RNAcentral lists this ribosomal RNA (460 nucleotides) under uncultured bacterium. RNAcentral's name for it is "partial 16S ribosomal RNA". It matches the Rfam family "Bacterial small subunit ribosomal RNA", at positions 338 to 795 of the family's 1533-position model. The record is from RNAcentral.
CCUACGGGGGGCAGCAGUGAGGAAUAUUGGUCAAUGGGCGCUAGCCUGAACCAGCCAAGUAGCGUGAAGGAUGACUGCCCUAUGGGUUGUAAACUUCUUUUAUAUGGGAAUAAAGUGCAGUAUGUAUACUGCUUUGCAUGUACCUUAUGAAUAAGGAUCGGCUAACUCCGUGCCAGCAGCCGCGGUAAUACGGAGGAUUCGAGCGUUAUCCGGAUUUAUUGGGUUUAAAGGGAGCGUAGGCGGGUUGUUAAGUCAGUUGUGAAAGUUUGCGGCUCAACCGUAAAAUUGCAGUUGAUACUGGCAGCCUUGAGUACAGUAGAGGUGGGCGGAAUUCGUGGUGUAGCGGUGAAAUGCUUAGAUAUCACGAAGAACUCCGAUUGCGAAGGCAGCCUGCUGGACUGUAACUGACGCUGAGGCUCGAAAGUGUGGGUAUCAAACAGGAUUAGAUACCCUGGUAGUC